CUCCGGUUGAUCCCGCCGGACCCGACUGCUAUCGGAUUGAGAUUUAGCCAUGCGAGUCGAACGUCCCCCUGUUGCGGGGGGCGUGGCAUACGGCUCAGUAACACGUAGUCAACCUGCCCUGGAGACAUGGACAACCCCGGGAAACUGGGAUUAAUCCGUGAUAGGUCAUCUCAUCUGGAAGGAGAGGUGGCCCAAAGGGGAGAUGUGGGCUUCCACUUUUCUCGCUCCAGGAUGGGACUGCGGCCGAUCAGGCUGUUGGCGGGGUAAUGGCCCACCAAACCUGUAACCGGUACGGGCCUUGAGAGAGGUGGCCCGGAGAUGGACACUGAGACAAGGGUCCAGGUCCUACGGGGCGCAGCAGGCGCGAAACCUUCGCAAUGCGCGAAAGCGUGACGAGGUUAAUCCGAGUGGCUUCCGCUGAGGAAGUCUUUUGCCGACUCUAAAAAGGUCGGAGAAUAGGGGAGGGCAAGUCUGGUGUCAGCCGCCGCGGUAAUACCAGCUCCUCGAGUGGUCGGGGCGAUUAUUGGGCCUAAAGCAUCCGUAGCCGGUUCCGUAGGUCUUCUGCAAAAUCCAGUCGCUUAACGAUUGGCCCGCAGGAGAUACCGCGGGACUAGGAGGCGGGAGAGGUGGACGGUACUCCACGUGUAGGGGUAAAAUCCUUUGAUCCGUGGAAGACCACCAGUGGCGAAGGCGGUCCACCAGAACGCGCUCGACGGUGAGGGAUGAAAGCUGGGGGAGCGAACCGGAUUAGAUACCCGGGUAGUCCCAGCCGUAAACGAUGCGAGCUAGAUGAUCCAAUCGCAAAUCGCGAUUGGAGUGUCGCAGGGAAGCCGUUAAGCUCGCCGCCUGGGGAGUACGGUCGCAAGACUGAAACUUAAAGGAAUUGGCGGGGGAGCA
RNAcentral lists this ribosomal RNA (897 nucleotides) under uncultured archaeon. RNAcentral describes it as "bacterial SSU rRNA". It matches the Rfam family "Archaeal small subunit ribosomal RNA", at positions 1 to 878 of the family's 1478-position model. The record is from RNAcentral.